GAUGAACGCUGGCGGCGUGCCUAAUACAUGCAAGUAGAACGCUGAAGGCGGAGCUUGCUCUUCUGGAUGAGUUGCGAACGGGUGAGUAACGCGUAGGUAACCUGCCUGGUAGCGGGGGAUAACUAUUGGAAACGAUAGCUAAUACCGCAUGACAACAGUUACUGCAUGAUAACUGUUUAAAAGGGGCAACUGCUCCACUACUAGAUGGACCUGCGUUGUAUUAGCUAGUUGGUGAGGUAACGGCUCACCAAGGCGACGAUACAUAGCCGACCAGAGAGGGUGAGCUGCCUCACUGGGACGGGAACACGGCCCAGAACCCUGCGGGUGAGAGCAGUAGGGGACCUUCAGGAAAAGACGGAAGGCUGACCGAGGAACGCCGCGUGAGGGCAGAAGGUAUUCGGGUCGUGAAGAUCAGGUGUAUGAGAAGAACGUGUGUGAGUUUGGCAAGGGCACACAGUGACGGUAUCUGACCAGAAAGGGACGGCUAACUACGUG
This 495-nucleotide ribosomal RNA is filed under the name uncultured bacterium. RNAcentral's name for it is "partial 16S ribosomal RNA". It matches the Rfam family "Bacterial small subunit ribosomal RNA", at positions 28 to 507 of the family's 1533-position model. The record is from RNAcentral.